Molecule: ribosomal RNA, 1520 nt
Filed under: metagenome
Description: bacterial LSU rRNA
Rfam family: Bacterial large subunit ribosomal RNA
Source: RNAcentral
GGAAUUAUGUGAGAAUCAUAAUGGCCGAAAGUCUAAGGUUUCCUGAGGAAGGUUCGUCCUCUCAGGGUUAGCCGGGAGCUAAGGUGAGGCGGAAACGCGUAGCCGAUGCACAUACGGUAGAAAUUCCGUAGCCUCCGAAGAUUUAAGCACAGGGACACUUUUGAAGGGCUGAGCCGGGCGUUGGUUGCCCCGGUCGAAAGGGACACGAGUGAGUGGAAGUCAGUUUGGAAAGAGGCGAGAAAAGCUGUGUGUAUAUGGAAGGAGCCCGUACCGCAAACCGACACAGGUAGACAGGAAGAAGAUUCUAAGGCCAGCGGGAGAAGGGUUGUUAAGGAACUCGGCAAGUUGACCCAGUAACUUCGGGAGAAGGGGUGCUUACGAAGGUAAGCCGCAGAGAAUAGGCCCAAGCGACUGUUUAGCAAAAACACAGCUCUAUGCUAAAUCGAAAGAUGACGUAUAUGGGGUGACACCUGCCCGGUGCUGGAAGGUUAAGAGGAGAUGUGAGAGCAUUGAAUUGAAGCCCCAGUAAACGGCGGCCGUAACAAUAACGGUCCUAAGGUAGCGAAAUUCCUUGUCAGGUAAGUUCUGACCCGCACGAAUGGUGUAACGAUUUGGGCACUGUCUCAACAACCCACCCGGCGAAAUUGUAGUACCGGUGAAGAUGCCGGUUACCCGCGACUAGACGGAAAGACCCCAUGGAGCUUCACUGCAGCUUAAUAUUGGAUUUCGGUAUUUCAUGUACAGGAUAGGUGGGAGACUGGGAAAUACAGGCGUCAGCUUGUAUGGAGUCAUUGUUGGGAUACCACUCUUGAGGUGCUGGAAUUCUAACCUGUGGCCUUGAAUCAGGUCAGGGGACAUUGUUAGGCGGGCAGUUUGACUGGGGCGGUCGCCUCCUAAAAGGUAACGGAGGCGCUCAAAGGUUCGCUCAGCAUGGACGGAAACCAUGCCAGAGAGUGCAAACGCAUAAGCGAGCCUAACUGCGAGACUGACGGGUCGAGCAGUAACGAAAGUUGGAGUUAGUGAUCCGGCGGUAUAUGUGAGUGGAAAUGCCGUCGCUCAACGGAUAAAAGCUACCCUGGAGAUAACAGGCUGAUCUCCCCCAAGAGUCCACAUCGACGGGGAGGUUUGGCACCUCGAUGUCGGCUCAUCGCAUCCUGGGGCUGAAUUCGGUCCCAAGGGUUUGGCUGUUCGCCAAUUAAAGCGGUACGCGAGCUGGGUUCAGAACGUCGUGAGACAGUUCGGUCCCUAUCUGUCGUGGGCGUUGGAGAUUUGAAAGGAGCUGUCCCUAGUACGAGAGGACCGGGAUGGACGCACCUCUGGUGCACCAGUUGUCACGCCAGUGGCACAGCUGGGCAGCUAUGUGCGGAACGGAUAAACGCCGAAAGCAUCUAAGCGUGAAGCCGCCCUUAAGAUAAGAUCUCCUUUAAGACCCCUUGUAGACUACGAGGUUGAUAGGUCUGAUGUGUAAGCAUGGUGACAUGUUUAGCUUGCAGAUACUAAUCGGUCGUUCGCUUUUCCAA